RNAcentral lists this long non-coding RNA (292 nucleotides) under Lathyrus oleraceus (garden pea). RNAcentral's name for it is "Pisum sativum (pea) long non-coding RNA (PSAT_LNC006524)". The record is from RNAcentral. Lineage: Eukaryota; Viridiplantae; Streptophyta; Magnoliopsida; Fabales; Fabaceae.
UUUUUUAUUUGCCUUAUUAGUCUUAGUGCUUAGAGAAACCUUUCUUUUUUAUUUUCCUUGUUAGUCCUAGUGCUUAGGUAAACUCCUUUCUUUUUCUUUACUUUCCUUGUUAGUCUUCGUUCUUAGGCAACCCCCUUUUUUUUAUCUUUGUUCAUACCUGUAACACGGUGGGAGAAUUGACUUUAGUCAAAUGUUGCGGAUAGCAAGAGUCGCCACCGACUUUUAUUUUAUCCAAAAGGAAAGGACAUAAAAGAACAGGAAAGACCUUAAAAAGAUUUUGAGUUCGGGGGAU